This 468-nucleotide ribosomal RNA is filed under the name uncultured bacterium. Its description in RNAcentral is "partial 16S ribosomal RNA". It matches the Rfam family "Bacterial small subunit ribosomal RNA", at positions 28 to 507 of the family's 1533-position model. The record is from RNAcentral.
GACGAACGCUGGCGGCGUGCUUAACACAUGCAAGUCGAACGGAAAGGCCCUGCUCUUGUGGGGUGCUCGAGUGGCGAACGGGUGUGUAACACGUGAGUAACCUGUCCUUGACUUUGGGAUAACUUCAGGAAACUGGGGCUAAUACCGGAUAGGAGCUCCUGCUGCAUGGUGGGGGAUGGUGAGUUUCGGCGGUUGGGGAAGGACUCGCGGCUUAUCAGCUGGUUGGGGGGGUAGUGGCUUACCAAGGCUUUGACGGGUAGCCGGCCUGAGAGGGUGACCGGCCACAUUGGGACUGAGAUACGGCCCAGACGCCUACGGGAGGCAGCAGUGGGGAAUAUUGCACAAUGGGCGGAAGCCUGAUGCAGCAACGCCGCGUGCGGGAUGACGGCCUUCGGGUUGUAAACCGCUUUCGCCUGUGACGAAGCGUGAGUGACGGUAAUGGGUAAAGAAGCACCGGCUAACUACGUG